UAGUGCAUUUGUACUAACCAGUCCUACUAU
This 30-nucleotide non-coding RNA is filed under the name Rattus norvegicus (Norway rat). The record is from RNAcentral. Lineage: Eukaryota; Metazoa; Chordata; Mammalia; Rodentia; Muridae.